CCUACGGGCGGCAGCAGUGAGGAAUAUUGGUCAAUGGACGAGAGUCUGAACCAGCCAAGCAGCGUGAAGGAUGACUGCCCUAUGGGUUGUAAACUUCUUUUAUCUGGGAAUAAAAUGUUCCACGUGUGGGAUUUUGUAUGUACCAUAUGAAUAAGGAUCGGCUAACUCCGUGCCAGCAGCCGCGGUAAUACGGAGGAUCCGAGCGGUAUCCGGAUUUAUUGGGUUUAAAGGGAGCGUAGGUGGAUUGUUAAGUCAGUUGUGAAAGUUAGGGGCUCAACCGGAGAAUUGCAGUUGAAACUGGCUGUCUUGAGUACAGGAGAGGUGUGCGGAAUGCGUGGUGUAGCGGUGAAAUGCUUAGAUAUCGCGAAGAACUCCGAUUGCGAAGGCAGCUCACUGGACUGCAACUGACGCUGAGGCUCGAAAGUGUGGGUAUCAAACAGGAUUAGAUACCCGUGUAGUC
Molecule: ribosomal RNA, 460 nt
Filed under: uncultured bacterium
Lineage: Bacteria
Description: partial 16S ribosomal RNA
Rfam family: Bacterial small subunit ribosomal RNA
Source: RNAcentral